UGGAGGCAGCAGUGAGGAAUUUUGCGCAAUGGGCGAAAGCCUGACGCAGCAACGCCGCGUGCGGGAUGAAGGCCUUCGGGUUGUAAACCGCUUUCAGCAGGGAUGAAACUGACAGUACCUGCAGAAGAAGCCCCGGCUAACUACGUGCCAGCAGCCGCGGUAAUACGUAGGGGGCAAGCGUUAUCCGGAUUCAUUGGGCGUAAAGAGCGCGUAGGCGGAUUGUUAAGCGCGAUGUGAAAACUGGGGGCUCAACCCGCAGCCUGCAUCGCGAACUGGCAGUCUUGAGUCUGGUAGAGGAGUGUGGAAUUCCCAGUGUAGCGGUGAAAUGCGCAGAUAUUGGGAGGAACACCAGUGGCGAAGGCGGCACUCUGGGCCACGACUGACGCUGAGGCGCGAAAGCUAGGGGAGCGAACAGGAUUAGAUACCCCGGU
RNAcentral lists this ribosomal RNA (431 nucleotides) under uncultured bacterium. RNAcentral's name for it is "bacterial SSU rRNA". It matches the Rfam family "Bacterial small subunit ribosomal RNA", at positions 343 to 791 of the family's 1533-position model. The record is from RNAcentral.